RNAcentral lists this ribosomal RNA (253 nucleotides) under uncultured bacterium. RNAcentral's name for it is "partial 16S ribosomal RNA". It matches the Rfam family "Bacterial small subunit ribosomal RNA", at positions 524 to 776 of the family's 1533-position model. The record is from RNAcentral.
UACAGAGGUCCCAAGCGUUGUUCGGGUUCAUUGGGCGUAAAGGGUGCGUAGGUGGCGCCAUAAGUCAGGUGUGAAAUUUCGGAGCUUAACUCCGAAACUGCAUUUGAUACUGUGGUGCUUGAGGACUGGAGGGGAGACUGGAAUUUACGGUGUAGCAGUGAAAUGCGUAGAGAUCGUAAGGAAGACCAGUGGCGAAGGCGGGUCUCUGGACAGUUCCUGACGCUGAGGCACGAAGGCCAGGGGAGCAAACGGG